This 7321-nucleotide long non-coding RNA is filed under the name Setaria italica (foxtail millet). Its description in RNAcentral is "long non-coding RNA (SITA_LNC004671)". Lineage: Eukaryota; Viridiplantae; Streptophyta; Magnoliopsida; Poales; Poaceae. The record is from RNAcentral.
UUAAACAAGGUUGUAGGGGCCUAAACGUAAUUAACUGUAGACCUCAGGGGUUAGCAAGGAAAAUUUGCAAGACACCAGGAAUAGUGCUCGCAAAAAGGCUAAAGAACAGGGUUAGAUUUGCAAAACAGCAGGGGCUGGACCAGAUCUAGGGAAACUAAUAGAUCCAGGGGGUUAUCUGCUAGUUUGCCAAGACACAAAGGAAAGAGGAAAAAUUACAAAUUUCUCCAGGGGCUAAAUCGAAAAGCACCGGGUCUUCUUCUACCUCACGCCAGGCGCACGGUGCACCUCCUGGCCGGCGGCCUGCCGGGGCUCCGGUGCGACGGGGACUCGGGUGGGUGGUCCAGGCGGUGGUGGCCGGGCUGCUGGCCCCAGCGGUAGUGCGGGAACGAGGUACGGGCGGCGUCUCGGCCAGGAGCAGGCGGCGGACAUAAACAGACCAGUCUGUUACGGUUGCAAAAACAAUGGAAAAGAGAGAGAAAGAGGGAAUCGUCGGAAACGAAGUCCGAUCUCGCGCAUGAACGGCAAAAUGGAACGAUAUCGACGAGACGAACAAGAUGGUGUGCUCACCUUCGGCCAGAGACGAACAAUGGCGGCGGAAAAGCUCGCCGGAGUUGGGGAAGACGACGGAGCCGACAUCGGAUUCAUGCAAUCCACCACACCACGGCGUAGAGCUCGAAGAGAGGAACUCCAUGGUGGUGUCGGUUUUCGCCGGAAGUCCACGGUUUCGCCGGAAAAGCUCGCCGGAGUUUGACGAAGACCGAACUUUGACUUCAGAUCUACGGAGUUAGGAGAGGUAACUCAUGAAAAGGUUUGCAGAUCUGAAAUCCUCGCGUCGAGACGAACGCGGUGAUAUAUAUAUGCGCCACACUCGGAAAAAGAUAUUUUCGAGUUGACUUUUUAUUUUUCGGAAUUUCUGAUUUUAUUUAUCUGCGCGAAAACAAUUCCAGAAAUAGCUGGACUCGUUUUCUAAAGCGAGAAAAAUAUCUAGAAAAUUCCGAAAAAUCUGAGAUAAAUCUCAGAGAUGGAUUGGGAUGCAAGGAAUCCAAAUAAAAUACUUGGAGCUCGUGAAAAGGAUUCUAGAACCUUCCAAAAAUUAGAUUUAGCUCUAGGGAAAAGAGAAUAAUUUCCGGAAAAAGGUGGAAAAUCCUCACAAGAGUCUGGGCAACGUCUAAACGCAUUUUUCAAACUUUUGCACUCAAGAAACACCAAGAUGCAACGACAUGAAUGCAAAGACAUAGAACAACAUUAUUUAAUUUAGAAAAGCAAACAAUUAUUUUUCCUAUACUAAAUUUCCUGUAAAGAAAAAUAAAUAUUAGGAAAAUUUUAAAAUUAUGAGAAAAUCGCUGUUGAAUUACUCUUUUUAAUCACAUCCUGAAAUUCGAAAAUUUCAGGGUGUGACAACACUACCCCCCUUAACAAGAAUCUCGUCCCGAGAUUCGCAAAGGCUUGCAAGAGACAAAGGUUUAGGUGGGUAGCAUCCAACACUUGUUAGCUUGUUCCCAGAUCAUUCAUCCUUACAUAACCUUCUCCAUCAUGCUUCUUUAUACUUCACUUCAUCACAUAGAACACUUCAGGGAUACUUAGUCUAAUUCCUCUUUUAAGUAUCCAUUCCUUUCCUCUGCUUCUUUGGGCCAUCUUUGAAGAACUUUCUUCAUUUCUUAGUAAAGUGAUUAGAAUAGAGCUGAAUGGCUUCCCUCUGGCUCGAUUGUCAUCCUUCAAGUCUUCAUACACAUCCUUUCUCCAUCUGAUCUAAACGCUUCUUGGGGCAUUGACUAAUGAAAUGUCCCUCUUCCUUGCAGUAGAAACAUGUUUUUCUUGCUUUGGUAUCUUGGGGACUGGAUGUGGUAUGAGAGUUGGGCUGUGGUAACUGAUGGCAAUUUUUCCUAACUGAGGUGGCUUGAUCAUUUGUCCUGACAAAGAGACCAACUGAUGUUGUUGGGUUGAAGGCAGGGCUUUUGGGUCCUUGAUCCUGGGGUUGAUCAUCCUUCUCUUUUGCACACCAACUAAUCAAGAUGUCCAUUUUCUCCAUACUGGAGGCAAUACAAUUUGGCUCCAAUGGACUUGGUCGACUUAUGCUUUAUUGGAUAGUUAUUGGCAUAAUGGCCUUCUUCACUGCAUCUGAAGCACAAUACUUUUACACAUCCAUCUUGGUUUUCUUUCUGCUCCCUAGUAACUCUCAGUGGAAUAACUAGUGCAUCAGGAUUCUUAUUGAUGGGGUUACCAUGUGGAUGGUGAACAACUUUAGGCUGUGGUUCGUGGGAACUAGGCUGAGUGCUGGUAUAUGCCAAUGGUUGAGGUAACUCCAUCUUCUCUUGACUUGCUUUACUAGUUGGCUUCUUGGCUCGCCUACUCGUCCAGGGCUGAAUUUCUUUGAAAGAGAUACUCCAACCCUCAAGGUUCAUAGUCUGAGUACUAUCUUCAUCUUGAGUAACUUCCUCUAGGGAUGGCCCUUGGGCAUACAACUUCCUCUUCGUAUUGAUAUCUAAAUGAUGAUGUUGUCUAGCUUUAGUUGUCAUUAGGCUAUCUUCUUUCUGGAGACAUGGAAGACGAUGGUGUUCCUAGAAUCUUAACAUCUUCAUAUUGUCUCUCCAUUUCCAGCUCCGACGAUCCAUGGCUUCUCUUGUUCCUUUGAUAGUCCCAGGCUUCAGCAACUUGCCUCUUCACUGGUCCAGUGGGAAUUCUAGCCUUGGUCAUCUCCAUGUUAUGAGGGGAUGAUGUGUCAGUCUGUAUCCUUCCUUGUAAGACUUGAGCCUGCAUAGCUAAUAGCCUCUCAUUGUCGAACGGUGGUGGAGCAAACGAAACGUGAUGGUCAUCACUGGUGAUAGGGUUGUGGUUCCGAGGGAGUGAGGCGUGCCCUGUGAUAUACUGAGGGAUACUGACCAUGGUUUGAGCCAUUGCUUGUAAAGUCCAAGCUUGUGUUGCCAUAUACUCUAACACCUUGCAUUCAAAUAAUGCGGAUACAUGUGGAAUGUUAAGAUCUCCUUCAUUAGCUCUAUCUUCAUGAUUUUCAUUGGGACUCGCCAUUUGGUUGGGUGAUAAAGAUAGGAUCAGAAGAAAAUAGGAAAUGGAUAAAAUUGCAGAACAAGGUAGAGCACUUCAUGAUAUCUUCGUCUUUUCUUGGGUCGUCAUCCGAGUAAGGUAGAAGAAAGGAUAGAAAGCAGCAAGGUGGCAAGAAAGCUAGGCUAGGGCCUUCUUUUCUUCGGCUUGCUUCUAUUUCGACGGUGAUGGUGGCGAUAGCCUCUGCUUGUUGAUAUUGGUGUUGCCUUCACCCUCUUCUUGAUGUCCAUCAGAAUUGGGAGAUAGAAAGAAAAAAAAAAUAACAAGGAUGUGGGAGGUACAAGCAGAUUCAAAGAGAGAAAAGAAAAUAAAAAGGUGGGAGACAACAAGUUCCUUAUGGUAGAGUGGAUAGUCUUUCAUCUUUGCUUAUCGAGAGUAGAAUCUCCCUGCUUUCUUCAUCUUCUUUGGUUCUUGUAAUCAUCAUUAGAGUAAGACGGAGAUUAGAGUAAAGCCUUCUAUUCUUCAACUUGCUUCUAACGAGACAGUGGUGGUGAUGUUAACUUCUGCUUGUUGACGUUGGUGUUGACUUUAGUUCCCACUUUUCUGAUGUCCUUCAUUGGCUCGGGUAGGAGGGAAUGGAUGACAAGGAUGUGGGAGAUUCAAAAGGAAAACCCAGCUAGGCAACUGAUGUCAUUGUAGAUAGAAGACCCACAAUACACCAACAAUCAUUACAAAGAAACAAAUCGGACAAUUUCAUAAAGACAAGCAUCAUCAUGCAAACACAAAAUUCCACCAGUCAACACAGAGUCAAGAAACGAUGCUAAACGUUGUUAAUAAGGCUACAAGGGGUACUCCUAAGCAGGGGUUGUUUGGUAAGGCUUCAACCUGCUUGAUGUAGGCAUCCUUCAGCUUGCCCAGCAUUGACUCCAGAUGUUUGGAGCACGUUUCAGUUGCUCAGGCUUGACUUCUAGUGGUGAACUGGUAACUCCAUUCUUCAGAUGUCUUGAACAGGCUUUAAGACAGGUGGCACGGAUCAUCUAGAUAUUUUUGAAUAAAACGAGACAUUUUGGAAAAAGUCAAGGAAAAGAUUCCAAGGUAUCAUUUAUUUGAAAAGCAACGAGAGGUACAAUGGGGAAGAUGGAUAUACUGAAAAUAAAGUUAAGGAAGAGAUAGGUUUACAAGGAUAAGUAAGUAAGGAAAACAUUAAGAAGAUAAAUGAACAGGGGAUUAGAGAGUAGCAAUAUCACUAAGAAAUCAAGGAGGUGUAUUGCAUCAAACAGGUAAGAUCAUUCAUCAAGAAGGAGAUGCAUGAUCAAGAUCAAGCAGUGAUCAAGGAGAGAGGAAAUAAAUAGACAAGGAUUGAGGGUCUAACAUUUGCAAGACAAGAAGUGCAAAUGAAAAGAGCUCAAGUUAUCAAGGAGGAUUGAGAAAAGAAAAUGAUCAAGGAGUGAGAAUAUUUUUCAGAAAGGUCAAGGAUAAGGCAGGAAUUGUUUAUAGAAUAAAAUAGACCUUAGGAAGUGACCAUUGCUAUCUAGGCUUACGUCCUACAGUCGAUACGGCUCUGAUACCACUUCUGUCACACCCGGUUUUAAGGACAAAACCAAGUGCUACAUAUAUGUAUGCCAGGAUCAAGAUUCAUACAUAUAGUGACAUCAUAAGUGAAUAACAGCAACAGUAUCACGUAAAAAGAUACAAAGACUUACGAAACCAUCAGAGAUAUACAGCUUAAUUAUGGAAACGGAGGCUCCAAACUUCACAGGCAAUCGACUGGGGGCUGCGUACGCCUAGGACUCAGCACCAUCUUCACAAUAACUUCAUAGCAACUUCUUCUUCUGAGCAAUGUUGGUUAUAGCAAGGGUGAGCACUUGUCGUACUCAGCAAGUGUGAGGAGAAUAUGAAUGCAAGGGUUAAACAAGGAAAGGCUGACUGGUUGACUGCAUUAAGCAUUUUUAGUUGGUCAAAUUUUAUUAGCACCUGAUUACUAAGGUAUAAGUAUAUACCAACCCACAAUUAAUAUAAGCAUAAACAUAAGCCAUAACCAUAUGGCACAACCAUAACCAUAGCAUAAACCACAAUUUAAAUCCAUCUUCAAGUAUAUUACUCAUGUGAGGGUCCAGGCCGCUCUUAACCGUGAGCACGGCUGAUCGAUCAGUUUUACACUCUGCAGAGGUCGCACAUCUUUACCCACAAGUCGCGUAAAAGCUCAAAAGAACUUUAGACCCAACCACGCUUGUGCUGAUCAGGCACAAUACCACACUUCCGAGGUGUGAUUGCAUAGGGACGCUACGAGGCCUUUACAAAGAUUCAUUAGUCAGUGGUAACCCGCUAAGGUUUCGGUGUCUGGCGUGCACCACCCAUCCCAGGUAAAAUGCAACGACUCAGUCCCCCCUCUUGCCUCAUCACGAGUAAGGUCACCCCAGACUAAGGUUUCUAAUUAAUCAGCCAAGACCAGAGCCAUUUAGUCUUGUGGUAGCACUGUUUUCCUGGGUGGUCGCUCCAUGUUCCAAUUAAAUAUUGUAAUCUUGUAUUAACAAAAGGUAUAUCAUAAAUAGAAUAAGUUCACCAUGUUGUUCAUUAGAACCACCAUAACCCAAGUAUAGCAGCUAAGCAUAGCUACCCAACAAAAAGGUAAACUCAGGUUGGCAAGGGAUAAUCAUAAAAACUAGGCAAACCUUAAUAGGACCCAUCAAAUUUAAUGCAAGCAUAUGCAAUAGUGAUUAAACAAAGUUAUUGGGACAAAAGCUCAAGGACACACUUGCCUUUCUCCAACGAAAAGUUACUCUUACUUCUCUUCGGCUCUUGCUCACUUGAAACUCUUAAUCUUCAAAGCUUUCGAACAGCGAUCCUUCUACUCGAAGCAAUCACCGGCACAAUCAUACAAGCAAACAAACAAAUACAACUAAGAGCAGUACACCAAAACAAAAAGGAAAGCUUUAAAAGAGCGCACUAACGACAAGGCUCGAUCUAAGGUCACGCGAACGUAAGGAACGCUUAAAACGGAACUAUGGUUGAAAAGAUAAAGCUAUCGAGAGUUUUGAAUUAUAAAAGAAAGAUAAGAUCUACAAGCUUUAUUUAUUUUAGUUGAGAAAAGCAAUGUAAAGAUAUUUCAGAGAAAUAUCCUUAGUUAGAAUUAAUCAAGUCAUAUUUAUAUUUUCAUAAGAAAAGACGGUGUAAAGCUUAGUCCAAUUUUAUUUAUAAAUAUUUGAGUACAAUUUAUGCAAAUUAAACAUUUAAUUUAAAAAUAAGAUACAUGUAGACAUCUAAGCGUAUAGCUUUACAUCUCGAGUUCAACUAAGUAGAUUAAAUUAAAAACACAUUUAUAUUUAUAUUAGCCAAAUUAAUAUUUAAUUAUGAAAACUCAAGAUAUAACCUAUACAGAUUUUAUUUAGAAAACAAAUUGAAUAAACAUUAAUCAAAUUGAAUUUAAUUUAUGAAACGCCGAGGCAUAACUCUAAGUGGCUUUUAAUUGGAAGAAUUAUUUAGAUAGGCAUUAACCAAAUUAACCUUAGUUUAUGAAAAACCGACAUAUAACCUAAUUGGCUUUUAUUUAGAAGAGGGUAUGAAGUAGGCAUUAAUCAAAUUAACAAUUAUUAUGAAAAACGAUGUUUAACACUAAAUAGAUUUUAUUUAGAGAAGAACUCGUUUGACAGGCAUUAAUCAAUUUUAAUAUAAAUUUUAUUUUCAAAAACAUGUGUGAAGGAAAACAUUACCACUAACGUGUAAUUUACAUCAUUAUGAAUCUAACGCAACUUGAACGGACGAAAACGGAAUUAAAACGUAGAUUCUAUGGGUUAAACAAGGUUGUAGGGGCCUAAACGUAAUUAACUGUAGACCUCAGGGGUUAGCAAGGAAAAUUUGCAAGACACCAGGAAUAGUGCUCGCAAAAAGGCUAAAGAACAGGGUUAGAUUUGCAAAACAGCAGGGGCUGGACCAGAUCUAGGGAAACUAAUAGAUCCAGGGGGUUAUCUGCUAGUUUGCCAAGACACAAAGGAAAGAGGAAAAAUUACAAAUUUCUCCAGGGGCUAAAUCGAAAAGCACCGGGUCUUCUUCUACCUCACGCCAGGCGCACGGUGCACCUCCUGGCCGGCGGCCUGCCGGGGCUCCGGUGCGACGGGGACUCGGGUGGGUGGUCCAGGCGGUGGUGGCCGGGCUGCUGGCCCCAGCGGUAGUGCGGGAACGAGGUACGGGCGGCGUCUCGGCCAGGAGCAGGCGGCGGACAUAAACAGACCAGUCUGUUACGGUUGCAAAAACAAUGGAAAAGAGAGAGAAAGAGGGAAUCGUCGGAAACGAAGUCCGAUCUCGCGCAUGAACGGCAAAAUGGAAC